RNAcentral lists this ribosomal RNA (244 nucleotides) under uncultured bacterium. Its description in RNAcentral is "partial 16S ribosomal RNA". It matches the Rfam family "Bacterial small subunit ribosomal RNA", at positions 976 to 1220 of the family's 1533-position model. The record is from RNAcentral.
AAGGCUUGACAUAUACGAGAACGGGCCAGAAAUGGUCAACUCUUUGGACACUCGUAAACAGGUGGUGCAUGGUUGUCGUCAGCUCGUGUCGUGAGAUGUUGGGUUAAGUCCCGCAACGAGCGCAACCCUCGUUCUAUGUUGCCAGCGCGUAAUGGCGGGAACUCAUAGGAGACUGCCGGGGUCAACUCGGAGGAAGGUGGGGAUGACGUCAAAUCAUCAUGCCCCUUAUGUCUUGGGCUUCACG